RNAcentral lists this ribosomal RNA (301 nucleotides) under uncultured bacterium. Its description in RNAcentral is "partial 16S ribosomal RNA". It matches the Rfam family "Bacterial small subunit ribosomal RNA", at positions 509 to 807 of the family's 1533-position model. The record is from RNAcentral.
CAGCCGCCACGGUAAUACGAAGGGUGCAAGCGUUACUCAGAAUUACUGGGCGUAAAGCGCACGCAGGCGGUCUGACAAGUCAGAUGUGAAAUCCCCGGGCUUAACCUGGGAACUGCAUUUGAAACUGUCAGGCUGGAGUCUUGUAGAGGGGGGUGGAAUUCCAGGUGUAGCGGUGAAAUGCGUAGAGAUCUGGAGGAAUACCGGUGGCGAAGGCGGCCCCCUGGACAAAGACUGACGCUCAGGUGCGAAAGCGUGGGGAGCAAACAGGAUUAGAUACCCCUGUAGUCCCUGUCUCUUAUAC